This is a long non-coding RNA of Cercocebus atys (sooty mangabey), 872 nucleotides long. RefSeq lists it as uncharacterized. The transcript has 3 exons. Lineage: Eukaryota; Metazoa; Chordata; Mammalia; Primates; Cercopithecidae. The record is from RefSeq and is a predicted model, not a curated record.
CACCAGCUCUCAAGGAGGACUAUCUUCUGGUCCUCCAGCAGGCUAGACAGGAAAUUCACCAGGCUGCUAAUCUUUUCUCCCCUAUUCCAGAUUCCCAGCCAUAUGAAGACACCCUAGCUGUACAAUCAGUUCUUGUUAAGAAUCUGACCCCUCAAACUCUACAACCUCAAUGGGCUGAACCCUAUUUAGUCAUCUAUAGUACCCCAACUGCUGUCCGCCUGCAGGACCUUCCCUAUUGGAUUCACCGUUCCAGAAUAAAGCUGUGUCCACCAGCCAGCCUGAUCUCUCCUCUUCCUCCUGGAAAUCGCAGCACCGCUGGGUGAGGGUCUCCCCGACCGAGCUGGUCUCAGCAAGAGGCGUCCAUUCAUGGGGGCUGGAAUCCAGGUCAAAGGGUUGCCGGAGUGACGGUUGGAAUGGAAAACAAGCUGGAGGACACCCGAGUACUCUUAAAGCAAUCCCCUGGCCAAAACCAACAGCCGAUUUGGGUACUAUCAAGACACCUGAAACCUUAUUAUGAGCCAGAUGCUGAGGAAGAGACUCUGGGAGGAUCCCGAGGACCCCCCAGUUGCAGACAUGUUGAGACUGACGCUGAGGAGGACCCCUACUGUCACGGCCCACACCCGUCGAACACAGCCACCCACCUGGAGGCAGAUCCAGAAGCUGUCACAGAUGGCAAAAGAAAACCUGAGGAAAGUGGGACAACCAGUCACAAUGAAUAAUUUAAUGGUAGCUAUGAUAGCAGUUAUCACCACUGCCGUGAGUAUUCCUUCAAUAAGGGCUGGUAAUAAUGCCUGGAUGCAAUCACUAUGACACAGUUACACAUGCUUUCUGAUCUCAGUAUUUACCAUAAUAAAUCUGAUCCUAUAAUUGAG